This 517-nucleotide ribosomal RNA is filed under the name uncultured bacterium. RNAcentral describes it as "bacterial SSU rRNA". It matches the Rfam family "Bacterial small subunit ribosomal RNA", at positions 501 to 1016 of the family's 1533-position model. The record is from RNAcentral.
CUACGUGCCAGCAGCCGCGGUAAUACGUAUGUCACAAGCGUUAUCCGGAUUUAUUGGGCGUAAAGCGCGUCUAGGUGGUUAUGUAAGUCUGAUGUGAAAAUGCAGGGCUCAACUCUGUAUUGCGUUGGAAACUGCAUGACUAGAGUACUGGAGAGGUAAGCGGAACUACAAGUGUAGAGGUGAAAUUCGUAGAUAUUUGUAGGAAUGCCGAUGGGGAAGCCAGCUUACUGGACAGAUACUGACGCUAAAGCGCGAAAGCGUGGGUAGCAAACAGGAUUAGAUACCCUGGUAGUCCACGCCGUAAACGAUGAGUGCUAGGUGUUAGACCCUUUCCGGGGUUUAGUGCCGUAGCUAACGCAUUAAGCACUCCGCCUGGGGAGUACGACCGCAAGGUUGAAACUCAAAGGAAUUGACGGGGGCCCGCACAAGCGGUGGAGCAUGUGGUUUAAUUCGAAGCAACGCGAAGAACCUUACCAGGUCUUGACAUCCCUCUGACCGCUCUAGAGAUAGAGUUUUC